CAAUGGGGAUGACGAUAAACCAGAUAACGAAGAAGGCUGGGAGAACUGUGCCCGCUGUCAGAAUGGGUUGCCAAGCAGAUUGUGGCUCUGCAGCUGUGAACUGUGUGGAAACCUUUACAUUAGUAAAUGAAAGCCUACUCCAAAAUAUCAGGCAACAGAGGCAAUGCAAGAGGCGUCUGAAGAUGAACACCAAGCUUUGUCCUCUCCAGAAGUUUGGGCCGGCAGAGUCUUUCACAAACUGAGAGGAUGAGAGAGAAAAGCGAGAGAGAGAGAGAGAG
This is a long non-coding RNA of Oncorhynchus tshawytscha (Chinook salmon), 278 nucleotides long. RefSeq lists it as uncharacterized. The transcript is spliced from 3 exons. The record is from RefSeq and is a predicted model, not a curated record. Lineage: Eukaryota; Metazoa; Chordata; Actinopteri; Salmoniformes; Salmonidae.